This is a small nucleolar RNA of Homo sapiens (human), 197 nucleotides long. The record is from RefSeq and is marked validated. NCBI's taxonomy places the organism in Eukaryota, Metazoa, Chordata, Mammalia, Primates, Hominidae.
CCGUCCUCCUCGCUGCAGGCCGAGAGCGGAGGCGUAAACCCAGGCCAGCGAGGAGUGUCCUAUAAAGGGACGGGGACUUUUCGGCGCUUGCAAUUCUCCCAUUCUGAAAAAUAGAUCGGAAGAGGGCUAUUGGUUGAUUCUUGAAAGGGGAGCGCAUUUCCUGUUGGCCUGCGAAUUUGGGGUGAACUGGGACAAGU